This 31299-nucleotide long non-coding RNA is filed under the name Physcomitrium patens. Its description in RNAcentral is "long non-coding RNA (PPAT_LNC007874)". Lineage: Eukaryota; Viridiplantae; Streptophyta; Bryopsida; Funariales; Funariaceae. The record is from RNAcentral.
UUUGUUUUUUUUGUAGUUUAAUUUGCAACAAGUAUAUAUAAGACUAGAGUUACAAUUAGGCAACAAGGCUAUUGUCGUUGUCAUUGAUUUUACAAGAAGAACUACUCAUUGUAUCUAGGGACAACAAGACACAUGAUCAAUUGUGGCAAUUUGUAGAAGUCAAAAGGACUAAAUUACUUGACUUUCUAGGACUUAAAUUUUAGAAUGUACUAUUGCUAAUUUUUUUUAUAGACUGGAUCACUAUUUAUUCAUCUAUCAUGUUAUUAUUUUAAAAGUAAGAAUUGGCAUCAUUAAUGCAUGUAAAUUAUUGAAAUAAGUGAAUUAAACUUGACAUUAACUUCUAGAUUUAUAAUAAAUCAUAUCAUAAAUUGGUGGUCUAAUCGACUAAGAUAGAUUAUACCAUGUGACAAUUGAAUCAUAGAAUGUGUCUUUUACAAGAAUAAGCAUAGAAUAGAAAGGAAGUGAGACUUGUUUGAUCUUAAUUUUCUUGUUGAAUUUAUUACAUUGUGAAGUCGUAAACUUACUACAAAGUUAAAUUGAAUAAUUUUUGUCAUAAUUUUUUUUGGUUUUUUAUAAAUUUUCUAAAUUAUUGCAAGUAUUAUAAAAAAAAGAUAUGAACUUGUUACAUUGUCAUAUUAUGUUGUAAUUGGUAUUUCUACUCAAUUAAAUUAGAUAGACAUUUUACUUUAUAAGUUGAAUAUAUGUCAUGGACAUACAUAUGUAAACCAAUAAUUAUCUAUAUGAUUUAGAUAAAAGUAAGUAAAAGUAGAUUGAUUCCAUAAUAUCUUCUAUAAAAGCUUUGUAGAAGCUUUAUGGACACUGCUUUGACUUUAUAAGUAUCUUUAAUUGAUUUUUUUAGGUUAAAACAUGGUCAAUAAGUUUGCCUUGUGCCACACAUGUUGAUAGCUUGUAAAACAAGCUAAUUAUGUGGCCCACAUAUAGAAAACUUGCCUUGUAAGCUAAGGCAUGUGUUCUGCAAAGUCAACACAUAUUAGAGGUCCUAUAGAACAUCGCCACGUAGCUCCUAAUUAGAUAAUAUAUACAAAGGCAAGAGUGAAGCCCUCUUUACUCUUAUCAACUCUUUUCUUGCUUCUAGUCUAGAUUUAAGAGUCUCUAAUUUUCUUGUCUUUUGGCAAUAGCCAUUCUAAUUUCUUUUUAAUAUAUAUACUAUUUUAUUGCUAUUUUGUCACUUUUCUUUUAAUACAAAAUUUUUAGGUUUAUGCAUCUUCUUCUAGUUCAUGUCCUUGGUAGAUUGACAAGAGUAUACUUACAAUAUUAGAGUUUUUUUUUUUUUUUUUUUUUUUUUUCUUUUCUUGAUUAAGAGUAGAUUUUUCAUUUUUUUUAUAAGACAUAAGCAUAUUAGAAGUUGCGGAUUAUCCUCUUUUAAACUAAUAUUGUUCUUAAUAUCUUUUUUUUUAUUUUUAAGUCCCCUUUUCUACUUAUCUUGAGUUAUAUUAAACAUUUAUUUUUAAAAUAUUAUCAUAGAAGAGCUUGUUGAAAUAAAAAGUGCAAUGACAAAAAUGUAAAAGAAAUUGAAGGAGUUAAUGCUUGCGAUGCAUCAAUUUAGUUUACCACCACAAAGAGUAAGAAGAAUGGCAGGAAGUGAUGAUAUAAAUAUGAUUGAAGUUGUUUCAACAUCUGUACCCAAUCAUGUCCCUUUUCUUACGGUGGAACAUCCUUCCAGUACUAGAGAACCAAGAAUUGCCUUGCUUGAGAGGUUUGAUGGCACAAGAUUAAAUUUUUGAGGAUUUAUCAACCAAUUAUAACUUAUGAUUGAACUUCAAUUCCAAAGCUAUUCAAUUUUAGGAUCAUAAGUUAAAUUCAUUAGUACAUUUCUUUCAAGUUCAGCAUUAUCAUGAUUUUCAUCUUUAUUUAAAUAACGAUGUCGUACUGUAAAUGCUUACAGUAUGUAAAAAUUAGCUAAAACAUAUUAUAUGUUGAUAAAUCUAGAUGUGUGUUAGAGUGUCUAGUAGAUUAAAUUAAAAGGAUUUGGUAUAAGAAACUUUACUUUGUUUCUUUACUUCUUUUGAUUUUGAUAUUAAAAUAUAUAUAUAUAUAUAUAUAUAUAUAUAUAUAUGUAUAUAGGACCUAAAUGUUUAGUAUGAAGCCUUGGAAGAAGGUGGAAACCUAAGGAUGAAAAUCUAAACUAGUAGGAGGCUAAUUGAAAGGGAUGAAAGUAAGGCAUGGUCGGAUGAAGGCAAGGAAUGGAGAACUUCAUCCCUAUUGGUCGAAUAUCAUACCCAAUAGGCUUCAAGGAGGCUGCCCGAGGCCUUAUGAGGGAUUAGGGUUCCUCUUUUGAAGGCAUUCGGAGAUUAGAAGCUAGGGUUGUAAAGUUUAGGGUUUGGAGAACAAUUUGUAUACAAAAAUUAGAGGAUUUGGAGUUAGGAUGAAAAAGUUAUAACCAUUUGAAGUUAAGGUGUUUAUUUAACACAUACUGUUACUCUUUUGAGAGUACAAGCAGUUUUACAGCAGCUUUUGAAGAUUGGAAGGUGCGACUGGAACGGCGAUUUCAAGGCCUACAUCUUUUACAAAGGAAUUAUUGCUUUUGGAGUUCAUAUAAAGGAGUUGUAAGGAGUUGAAAGCGAUGCUUUCAAAUCAAAAGCAGUAAGUAAGCGGAUUUGUUUGUAGUAAUGGUUGAAACCAUAACUUGAGUUUUCGAACGAAUUUUUGGCUCAAACUUUUUGGAGAAUGUAAAAUUUUGUGCUAAGAAGCUAUAUAUACAAAUUUCGUGGCAUUUGAUCUUAUAUUUUGUGAGAUAUGAAGAAAAUUGCAUGUAGAUGUAUAAAGACAAGAGUUUGAAGCGAAUGUUAGGGAUUUCAAGAUAUCUCAAGAUUUGUAAUGAAUUUGCGGUUGAAAAUUGUUGUAGAAGUUAAUAAGAAUAAAUUAGUACCUCAUGUAAAAUUUGAGUUUGUUUGGACGGUCGGAUUUAGAGAUAUGAGGUGUUGAAGUUCAAGAAAAUCUCCACAUAAAAAUAAAUAAGGAUUUAGAAGAUUUUAUCAUAUUUUGGAAGUUGUGGAUUACUUGAGGAUUGUGUAUUUGGUGUAAUUACUCAAAAAGAGGAAAAUUAUAUAUAAACUUAGGGCUUCCCUUAUUUUCAAGCUUGAUUGAAUAAUUAGUGACAACCAGAAGCCCAGCAUUUUUUUGAGGCAAACUCUCUCUACUCUGACAAUGAGAUCUAAUAUUAGAUAAUUUAGAGGCUUUUAUAACAAAGUUUUGAUCCAUUUAUGGAAAAAAUGAUGUAACUUGUGUUGCAACCAAUAAGAUCCAUAUUUUAUGAGAAAAUAAUCGAUCUGUAACAUUAUAUGUUUUAAAAUUUUGACAAUUUGCAACCGAUAUCAAGUGGAAUGAUGCUGCACUUAUUAGCCAAUUUUUCUAUGAAUUAUAAUAUGAUGUAAAGAAAUUGAUGCUCAACUUAUUUGAUCUUUAAACAUUGAGUCAAGCAAUUGACUUUGCUGUGAAGUGUAACAAUCAACUUUUUGAAUUUCAAUCUGAAAAUUAGAGAAGUGGGCCUCAACAUUAUUAUAAUUCAAUGGCAACACCAAUGUCUCUUCAACACAUAAAUUUAGAAGUAGAGGAUAUACAAAUUGAUAUGAUAUGUUUCAAACUUCUUACUUAGCAAAAAAAGGCUUGUCGCCAUUGUUAUACGAUAAAUACUUGUAAUAUGUAAAAAUUAGUUAGAACAUAUAAUAUAUUCAUAAAUCUUGGUGUAUGUUAGAAUGGUCAAUAGAUUAAUUUAAAGAAAGUGGAUUUAAGAAACUUUAUUUUGAAUUUUAUCUUUUUUGAUUAUAACAUUUAAAAAAAUUGUAAGACCUAAAUAUUUAGUAUAAAGCCUUGAGAAGAGAUUAGAGCCUAAAGAAGAAAAUCUUAACAAGUAGGAGGCUUAUUUGGAGGGAUGAAAGCAAGGCAUGGUUGGAUGAAGGCAAGGAAUGGAGAUCUUCAUCCCUAUUGUUCGAAUGUCAUGUCCAAUGGGCUUCAAGGAGGCUGCCUGAGGCCUUAUUAGGAAUUAGGAUUUUACUUUCGGAGGCAUUCGAGCUUUGGAGGCUAAGAUCAGCAAGUUCAGGAUUUUGUAUAUAAUUUGGAUGAAGAGUUUGUGUGAUUUGGAGUUUUUGUGAAGGAGAUAUAGGUGUUCAAAGUUAAGGUGUUAAAUUUGUACCUUUUGUCACUCUUUGAAGGAUAACAUAUGCGUACAAAAAGAAAUGAAAGAUUAGCAAGUAGAGUUGGAAAGAACACUUUCUUGGCUAUAUUUUAUAUAUACUAUUUGAUAAAUUCCAAGUGUAAAUGAAGGAGUUAUAGGAUAUUGAAGACAGUACAUGUAAUUCAAAGGUAGUAAGUGAGUCAUUUUAUUGAUAGUAAUGGUUGGAGCCAUAUCAUGAGUUUUUGGAUGAAUUUUUAGUUCAAAUUUUUUUUAAGUGUGAGUUAUUAGGUUGAAAAGCUAUAGAUCAAAGUUUCAUGGUAUUUGAGUACUUAUUUUGUAAGAUAUAAUGAGAAUAGCACGUAGGUAUAUGUAAGCUAGGAUUUAAAGCUACUAUUAGGAUUUUGGUGAUAUUUCAAGAUUUGUAACGAAUUUGCAAUUGAAUUUUUUUGUAGUAGUUUUUGAAAGUAUAGCAGUACUUCAUGUAAAAUUUAGGAUUUUUUAAAUGGUCCAAUAGUGAGAUAUAAACUAUUGAAGUUUGAAAAAUAUUUUUCAUAAGGAUAUAAAAGGUUUUAAGAUACUUUAUGAUAUAUUUGGAUGUUUUCUUGGUACUUGGGCUUAUGUAUUGAUGUAAUUAUCCUAAAAAGAAAAAUAUUAUAUAUAUAAAUUUGGUAAUUUAUAUCUUAGACUUGAUUGAGUAUUUAGUGGCAACUAGAUGACUAGCGCUUUCUUCAUACAAACUCUUUCUAUCCCAACACCGUUAAGAAGGAUUGUGCUUAUAUUAUGGAGAAUCUAAGCACACUGCUCAAUAUCAUUCAAAGAAAUGAUGUAAUUAUAAAGUGAGGAGCACAAAUAUAAAAAAAAAUAAUAUAUCAAAAAACGAGUCUGUCCAGCUACAAUAGGGACCGUGUGGUUAGAACCUUGUACAAUAUCUAAUGAAUGUCCUAUUAUCUCCUCAGAACCCUUUCUUUAUUUUGCAAUAAAUAUUAUUUUAGGACCUAUACAUUACAAAGCCUCUUCUUUUUUGGAUUCAGGAGCUUAGUAUUGUUUUAGAUGAAGGAUUUACUAAAAGACUUAACAUAUCUUUAAUAAGAAAAACUAAACCUAUUUAUAUAGAAGUCAUAGAUGGUCGUGUGUUGUCUUUUGGAGAUGUUACUCACCAAACCCUUCUUAUAGAAGUAAUAAUUAAUGGUCAUAAUUAGCUUUGUGAUAUUUAAUAUUAUUAAAUCUUCUUCUAAUCUAAUUAUUUUAGGUUUAUUGUGGUUAAAAAAAUACAACCCUUGAGUAGAUUGGAUUUCUUGUACUCUUGACUUUUCUCAAAGUAUAACUAAGAGUCUAGUUAAUCAAGUAAAAAAUCACAAGUUUAGUACAAUUAAACCUAUGUUUGUAGGUACAGGAGCUUUUUUACAUGCUACAAAAGAAGGAUCACCUUGUAUCAUUUAUACCACAUCUAUUUCUAAUGGUGCAAAGACUUCAAGUGGUAUUUCAAGCCAAUAUCAGGAUUUUCAAGAUAUAUUUGAGAAAAAAAAUAUAGAUACUCUUUCAAAAUAUUAUUCCUAAAACUACUCAAUUGACCUUCAAGAAGGAGCAUAAUUGCUAUUUGGACCAAUCUACAAUUUAUUAAAAAAUGAGUUGGCAAAAUUCAAGGAGUAUAUUGAAGAAAAUCUAGCUAAGAACUUCAUAUGCCAUUCCAAAUCUUCAGCAAGAGCCUCAAUUCUAUUUGAGAAGAAAAAAGAUAAAUCAUUGCGGACGUAAGUUGAUUAUUAAGGAGUCAAUAAGAUCACCAUCAAGAAUAGGUAUCCACUAUCUUUAAUAUUUGAACUUCUUGAUCAAUUGAAUCAAGCUAAAAUCUAUACAAAAAUAGAUCUACGAAAAGUAUAUAAUUUUUUAUGCAUUAAAGAAGGAGAUAGAUAGAAGACUGAAUUUUGAACAAGUAUGGACAUUUUGAAUAUAAUAUCAUGACUUUUAGACUUAUAAAUAUACUAGAAGCUUUUCAAUAUGUUAUGAAUGAUAUUUUUGAGAAUUUUUGGAUGAUUUUAUUGUGUAUUAUCUAAAAAACAUCUUAAUCUAUUCUAAGAAUAUAAAAGAACAUGAACUUUAUGUUCAUUGUAUAUUACAAAAAUUAAGAGAUAUGAGACUCUAUGCCAAGAUAAAAAAGUGUAUAUUCUAUACUACUCAAGUUGACUUUUUAGGAUACACUAUUUCAAACAAUGGACUUAUGAUGGAUCCUAAGAAAGUUCAAACUAUUAUAGAUUAGAAGAUCUCCCAAAAAAUCUAAGAUGUUUAAUGUUUUUGAAAUUUGCCAAUUACUAUCGGAUCUUCAUCAAGAACUUCUCUUGAACUACAGCUCCACUUAUACAUUGUUUUGUUGUAACAUGACUAUAUGAUGAAAGAUGAUAAUAUGGAUCUUAUUAUAGAAGAGCCAAAUUAAAAGAUAAAAUAGAAAAAUAUAGAUAAAAGAUAGGAAGGUAAUAAAACUUUUAGUAGUAAUAUUAUAUUUUAAAAAAAGUGACUUCUACUUACUUUGUAGGACCAUAAAUAAGAAAAAAAAAAAAUUAGAAAAAUAAAUAAUAUAGGCAUUUUAAAGAAGAAUUUAAGAAUAAAUUAUAGCAAAAUUUACCUAGAAAAACUGGAUAUUGAUAUUUGGAGAGGACCAGUUAUGAACCAAGGUUGAAAUCAGACCCUGAGGCAUAAAAUCAAGCUUUGAUGAUAAUUCUAGGAUUCUUUGGCAAAUUAAAGAAUAGAAUUAGAAAACAGACUUGAUAAGGUUUUAAUAAGCAUUAUUUUGAGUUGAUUUGGAUUUGUAUUGACUUUAUAAGAGCUUUACAAAGUCAGGGUUUGUUUUAGGUGACUCUAGAUUUGUGAAAUAAAAAGGGAGAUACUUUUUGGAAAAUUUCAUAUAUUUAGUAGUAGAUCCACAAGUGAAAUUUAAGAGGUUUGUGGAUUUAUAUGUGUUUAAUAUAUAUUAUGAGUUUGAGAUUGAUUGAAGGGUUGGAUCGAGGAUUAUUGAGGUUUAAAUAGGUCAAAUUUUCAAGAAGUAGUCUUAGAUCUAGUGAGGAUUUCUAAGAUUUCUAAGAUUUUUUCUAAUAUAUUAGUUGAAUUGGAGUAAAUAUUAUAUGCGUGGGUAGUAGACUUAUUUUACUACAUUUUUGAAAAAUUUGAGAUCAAUUAAAUGGUUCAAUAAGGAGAUAUUGGCAUUAAAAAUUCAAUAUUUAGAUUGGAGAAGGAGGCCGGCCAACAUCCAAGCAAAUAUUAGAGUAGAUCUUCUUUUUGGUGAGUUCAAUUUUCUUCAACUUAAUUUUUAAAAAGCAUAAAAUUUUUGAGUUAAAAUCAACAAUUUAGUUAUUAAUUAUUGAAGUUUAAAUGUGUUGUAGGAAUUAUUUGGAAUUAUUUAAGAUUUGAUUAGAAUAUGUUUAGAAUUUGGUUAGAAUUAAUUAAGUUUUCUUUAAGAUUUAUUUAGGAUUUCAUUAGUAUUUAUUUAGGAUUUGACUAGGAUUUGAUUAAGAUUUGUUUAAGAUUUGAUUAAGAUUCAUUUAGGAUUUGAUUAGGAUUUGGUUAGGAUUUAUUAGGAUUUGACUAGGAUUUGACUAGAAUUUGACUAAAAUUUGAUUAGAUUUUGAAUAGGAUUUAAUUAAGAUUUCUAUUUUAAUAUUUUAUUAAGAUUUCUAUUUUAGUAUAUUUUUGAAUUUUUAUAUUAUUUCUUUAUGAUUAUUUAAAAGGUCUUUAGGAAUAUAUUGUAUUUCUUAUAUGAUUCUUUUGAAAUUUUAAUUGAAUUUAGUCAAUGUUUGAUUGUAUUUUUUAAUAUUUAAUUAUAAUUUUUUUAAGAAUCUAUUAGAGUUGUUUGGACUUGUUGUUGCAAUUUUUUUUUUAUCUUCUACAGCUAGGUGCCUAGUGCAUUCUUAAGUCAAACACCAUAUAAUACGACAAUAUUUGACUUGUAAAGACAAACUUCAAUGGAAUCAUGAAGCAGAAGCAGUAUUUGAAGCUUUAAAGCCGACUUUUUUUUUCUGCACCAAUCUUUUAUCGGGUUGACUUUUCUAAGGCAUUCUUUAUGGAAAUAAACACAUCGGACUUUGCUUUGGAUGCUGUAUUAUUACAAAUGGGAAUAGAUGAUAAAUUUCUCUUAAUAACUUUUCAUUCUAAGAAAUUUUCAGCAACCAAGAUUAACUAUGAGAUCUUUGAUAAAGAGUUUCUUGCAAUUAUGGAUUUUUUUCAAGAAUGACAUCAUUAUUUGGAAAGCACUUCCAGUCCAGUCACCAUAUAUACAGAUUAAAAGAACCUCGAGUAUUUCAUGUCAGCUUGUAUUUUGAAUCAUCAUUAAGCUCGUUGGAGCAUGUCUUUGUCAACCAUUACCUAUUCCAAAACAACCAUGGUCCUCUAUAUUCAUGGAUUUUAUUUCGAAUCUUCUAGUUUUAGGAUCAUAUGAUUGUACAUUUGUGAUAGUAUAUUAUUUUACUCAAAUGACACAUUUUAUACUGUGCACAAAAUCUAUCACAAGUGAAGAAACUACCAAGCUUUUUUUUAAUAAUAUCUAUCAAUAUCAUGGAUUGUUGGAAGAUAUUAUAUCAGAUACUCAAUUUAUAUCAUGAUUUUAGAGAAUUCUUUUUAAGAUUUUAAAGAUGGACAUAAAGCUUUCUUUUAUCUUUCAUUGUCAAACUAAUAGAGAGACAGAGGUCAUAAACCAAGUUUUAGAGCAAUACUUAAGGUGUACCAUCAAUUAUUAAUAAGACAAUUGGAGAACCCUCUUGCCAUUGGUAGAGUUUGCUUAUAAUAAUACGAUGCAUUCUUUUCCACAACAAACACCUUUCUUUAUUAAUUAUGAUUACCAUCCAUGACAUGAAUUUUCAAAAGUUGUUAAUCAUAUGGCAGAAGGUUUGACAAAUCAUUUGUUAGAGCUUCAUAUAACAAUGAAGGUGUAAUUAAAGGAAGUUGAAGAAUGACAAAAGAUCAACGUGGAUGCCUAUCAAAAGAAACAACUACAAUUCAAUGUAAGUGACAAAGUAUGGUUGCUUCAUCAUAAUAUCAAGACUACUCGUCCUUGUGAUAAAUUGGACUACUGCAGGCUUAGAUCUUUUCUUAUUUGUGGACAAAUCAAUCCAAUUGCUUAUUGAUUACAUCUAUUGGUAUCACAGACAUACAACUGAAGAAGGUUCCAAAAAAUUCCAGAAAGUUCUUGAUGGUUCUAGAAGAUUCUAAAAGAUUCUAAAAGAUACUAAUAGAUUCUAAAAAGGUUUUUGAUGGUUGUAAGAAUUUCUAGAAGGUUUUGAAAGGUUCCAAUAGAAUCUAAGAAAGUUUUAAAAUAUCAUAGGAGGUCUUAAAAGAUUUUAGGAGGCUUUAGAUGAUUUAGGAAGUUACUAAAGAACGAUCUUAGGCUUGCUUCAUUCUCAAGCUUCAUAAAAUCUUCUCAAGAAGCUUCUUAGGACCUAGUAUAUAUAAGAAUCGAGACUGAGAAGAUUCUCAAUCUCGACAACUCACUUCUUGUGGUUUAGUGAGGACCUUCUUGUCUUGUAUCUAGUUAUUGUUUUAAUGUUGAGUUAACUCCAUUCCUUGAUCUUGAAUCCUUGUCUUAUAUAUGGUCUCUAAUAAUCGAAGGUAAUGAAGAUCCAUCUUAUCUUCUACAUAUCUCUUUUUGAACCAUACAAGACUACGAACAUACUAAGAAGAAGACAAACUCCACUUCUUCCUAUAGAAGUGAAAAAUAAUGAAGAAUUUGAAAUGGAAGAAGUUCUAAAUUCAAGGCGGUGCCAAAAUAAAUUAAAAUAUCUUAUCCAUUAGCAUGGAUAUGAUAUUAGUGAAUGCACAUAAGAGCCAAUAAUGAAUCUUACAAAUGGAGCUUUUCAUCGACGACAUCCAUUUAAAUAAAGAUGAAGAAUAAUAAGUCUUUUGCUAUAAAAGAAACAAGGUCCAGAGAAGAUUGCAUUCUAACAUCUAUCUUUCUUUGUAACUUUUUUAUAUUUGUGAUACUAAGGAGAUAGAGAAUCAACAACCAGCAGAUUCAAUUCAAGAGCUUUUAUUUGCGGACUUAUCGGAUGAAACAUUACAAUUGUUACAACCUUUAAGAUGACAAAAUCAAGAUGAAGAUCCUGAAGAAUAACAUGUCUUUCCUCAAAUAGACGAUGAGAUAUAACAUGUUUGGUAUCAUGACCUUGGAAGAGACUCCCAAUGUUUGGUGGUUUUAUUAGAGGUAAGAACAACUCCUGAUGGUAUUCCAAAUAUUUUAUUUGAAAGAAGUUACAAAGGCCUCAAUAAUGACCAAAUAAUAGGAUUUUCUUCUCACCUUGAUAUGGAAUACUAUUGAUGGUUAAAGGAGCCUAUCAACUAUUUUUGAAGAGAAUAGAGAUCAGAGUAUGUGGCAAAUAUAAUUCGUUGCAUCUUGGAUUUACUCAACAUAUGAAGAUUGCUUCCCAUAGAACUCGUCCUUAGAAUGGAGGAUAAUAUCAUGGAUACAGACAUAUAAAUUAAUAAUUAUGUAUAUGAUUUAGAUAAAAGUAGAUAAAAGUAGAUUAAUUCUAUAAUAUCUUCUAUAGAAGCUUCAUAGAUGCUAUUUUGACUUUAUAGGUGUCUUUAAUUGACUUUUUAGAUUAGAUUAGAUUAAAUUGGUCAAAAAGUUGGCCAUGUGCCACACAUGUUGGUAGCUUGAAGAAUAAUAUAACUAUAUAGUCCACACAUAGAAAACUUGCCUUAUAAGCUAAGGCAUGUGUCUUACAAAGUCAACACAUAUUAGAAGUUCUAUAAAACAUUGCCACGUAGCUUUUAAUUAGAUAAUAUAUAUAGAGGCAAGAGUGAAGCCCUCUUCACUCUUGUCAACUCUUUUCUUGCUUUUAGUCUAGAUUUAAGAGUCUCUAGUUUCCUUGUCUUUUGACAAUAGCCAUUCUAAUUUCUUUUUAAUAUAGAUACUACUUUAUUGCUAUUUUGUCACUUUUUUUUUAACACAAAUUUUUCAAAUAUAUGCUUCUUCUUUCAGUUCAUGUUCUUGAUAAUAUAUUACUUAAGAAUCUCUCAAAAGCAAUUGUUAGAAGAAUUAAGCUCAAUAAUCUUUGUAGUUUUUAUGAAGCUGGCAUGUGCAUAAAUUUCAAGAUCAAGGAAAUUGGAUAAAAAUUGUAGCUUUUGUAUUCUAUUAUACAUGUAUUGUAAAAGUUUUUGGCUUCUAAAUUUCAAGCCAUGCUCUCAAAUUAUGACAAUCUUCUAACUAUAGUGAAAAGAAAUAGAAAUAAAAACCAAUUGUUAUUAAAAUUGUAGUUAGAGGCAAGUUUUUCUUUUUAGAUUUAUAGUUGCAAGACUUGCUUCAAUUUGUAGUUGAUCAAUUGUUAUUUAAGUAUCUAUUUAGGUUAUUUGUAUCAAAAAAACUUGUUGAGUUGGAAUUAAUAUUGGAGAACAAAAAGAUAGUAGAGAGCCUAAUAAAAAGUCACAAGAAGAGCUCAAAGUUUUGCUAGGAAGUUAUAUCACAUAAUUUACAACUAAAGCAAUCAUUUGAGUUUAAGUAGAAGUUCUACAUCUUGAUUCUAAUGUUAUGACUUAAAGAGCAGCAACAAUUCAAGAAGUAAGCUAAGUGGAGGUAUUAUCGUAAUAUGGAUUUUUUACAACUAUUAGUAAGAGUACAUGAAAUGAGAAUUGACAUCAAGGCUAAAAAUUGUUGAAUUUCAAGAAAUCAAUAAUAACUUUGGAUGUAGGUAAAUCAUAAAUUGAGUUUUUUUUUGAAGAUUAAUUAAAAAAUUAUACAAAUAAUGCACUAAAAAAUAUUUAUAUUCUUCUAAAAAAAUAUCUUAUUAAUCUUAGUAUUGAUUUGGAAUGGCGCUUCUAGUCUUUCUAUCAUCAAAAAUAAGUGUAGCAUAUUUAAUAAAAAACAAUUCUUUUUUUGUAACAUGUAUAAAAGCUCUUGUAUCUAUCAAUAAAGUUUUAGUUAAUUAAAAUUUUUAAUUGAACAAAUAAAUUUUACUUUAUACUAUACAAAAAUCAAAAUUACAAAAAAUCUAAACUAUGUGGAGAUUAUUUUUUUUUUAGUCACAAUAAUUUUAAGAUAAUUGAACUAUUACUAAACUUAAUAAGAAAAUAGUACUUUUAUUAAUAAGAGAAUAAUACUAAGUAUUGUACAAGAUUCUAAUUGUAUGGUCUCUAUUAUAAGUGGAGAAACUUAUUUUUUGACAAAUCAACUUCUUUGACAACCAUACUCUUUGUUCUGUGAUUACGUUGUUUUUUUGUAUACUAUAAAGUAUACUAUAAAGUAUAUUUUUCUUAAGUUUUCCACAACAUAAGCAUAAUUUUUUUUAAUAAUGUCAAAUCUUUUCUUGCUUAUUAAGAGAUUUGAAACGUAUGGUAUCAAUUUGCAUAAGUUUUGGCCUUGACGGAUAAGCUUUUAGAAACUUAGAAGUUGUCACUAUAACUUAACUUGUACCUCUUAAACCAAUUCUUUAAAUCAAGAACCUUGACUUCAAAUUUCACUCAUGAAAUGCUACAAUAUUCAAAAGCAACUAUUAAUGUUGCCAAUUCUCUAUUAUAAUUUACUACAACUUUUCCCACACCUUUAAAGGCACUGUAAACAAAAUUGUACAAUUGCAAGGUGGGAAACAGAAGCAAUGGACCCUUGGCAUACCUCUACAGUACAGAUGAAAAACUGGCUUCCAUUAGUAUUAGGCCCACGAUUUGCCAUGCUCAAAACUCCCUCUCCAGUAUGCCUCACUUAGCAUCAAUACCGUAUCUCAUGUCAGCCAUCAAUAGAAUAAUGCACACUGGCAAAUAUGGGGAAAAAAUCAGUAGGUUGUAACACUACUUACAAUUGAAGUUCUCAUCCUUAAAGGUAUUGCCGUAAAUACUAUAUCCACCAGUGCCCUGCAAUUAGCAUCUUAAAAACGGUUAGACUUAUGGAAAAACUUGUAAUUUGAAGUAAUGCUACUGCUCAUGAGGUAAAGAUCUACAUUAAAAAAUUUAAACACACAUGAUCAACGAAGGAUAGAAACGCACAUUGCGUUGGUCAAAAUCACCACCCUGGAUCAUAAAGUCAUUGAUUACACGGUGGAACGCCGAUCCCUUGUAACCAAAACGCCUCUCACCUAUCCAACUCAUAAGCAAUAGUCGACCUUCAGAUAUUUAAUAGCAGUAUCACGUAGGAUUAUUUCCCAGGUGGAUUAAUUUCAGAGCGUACCAACUGAUUGCGCAAUGUCAGGGUCAUAACACGCAAUUGCUCAUCCCUCUCAUUCAAGGAAACUCUUCAACCCACACGCUUACCAUCAUCAGAACAGGGUGGAACAUACAGUGAAUCGUCGUAAUUCGCAUUCACUUUUGGAACUGCAAGACGAGCAGACUUUCGAAACGCAUGCUCGACAAAUUGUUACUUGCAUCAACCGACAAAUGCAGCGAACGAUGAAACUGGAAACGAUGCUGAAUACGCCAAAAAUGUAGCAAUACAGGUGGGAUGAAGUAGAAAAAAGGAGAGGAUAUCCCUGACCCGUGCAAAGACAACGGAAGUUUUCGACGGUAUCAGGGACUGUGUCACCGAAGAGCCCAAUAAUGAUGCGACCACACGGCUUGUCGUCAAUUUCGAUGUCGAAGAAGCAUUUCUUAGUCACCUUAGUCGUCACUUCUGAGGGCUGCCAUGUCCAGACACCAUAGCAGUUUAAAUCUUACUGUGGAAGAAUGUAGGAAAUAAAAAUAAUAAUAACAAUAAUAAUAUUAAAACCAUUACCAGUGCUACUAGGUCUACCAGACACUACUAUGCACAAUGCUUUGACAUAGACACCACGAAAAGUUCCAUCAGAAGACGAGAACGGCAACUGACCACCUGUGCCGCCCUGACGUUGACCUGCUUCCUGCACAUAUUUGACGCCGAAUCUGUGCACGAUUGCUGGAAGGUGGCUACGAAGCCACUGUGUGACAAUCCUAAGGUCGCAUGUCUACUGCCACGUAUAACCACAGAGCUCACAGAGCUCGCACUCGUUUCCACACUGGUCCUUAGUGAAGAGACUUGCGACACCACAUUGCUCUGCAAAGCCGCCACUCAAACUCGACAUCAGCAAAAUCGUAAAAGGAAGAAAUUUGGGUGUCCCCAAAUCAAUCAAUAACGCCACCCUCACAUUCCUUAUCAAUACCGAAUCAUGUAACCCAGUGCCGCAAGUGAUUACAGACCGGGGCUCCUAACGAAUCAGAAACGAGAAGAUUCAUACAAAUACUUGGCAGGCGGCCAUGGCUGAAGCUGAAGCAGAUAAAUGUGUCCACUAUCUCACUGAUACGAAGUGGACACAACUUGAGCAGCUGGAAGAAGAGCUUGCAUGCACUAGAUGAAUGAGGAUGAAUCGGGGCUUCACAGAUCUCUUUGAUUUCCUCCAUCUUUUUUUAAAUAGACUCAUGCUUUUACAAAAUAUACUGCAGCCUCAUGAAGAAUAUGAUAAUGAUGAAUGUGGUUAAUUUUUAUUAGUUGCAAAUCUAGUAAUGGAGAAAUGCAUCAAGAAAUUAUUAUUUUUUUUUUCAUGAUGGUUAGAAUGGGUGGAUCAAUUUUGGAUCUAUUUAACAUUCUUGUAUAUAUAUAUAUAUAUAUAUUAAAAAAUAAAUAGACUCAUUCCAAAAUGAUUGAAAAUUGAAUAUUGAAAAGCAUUAGUGAAGGAUAUAAAACAUCUUAUUUUAUCUCUAAAUGUAGUCUUCAUGAAACAAAGUAGAAUUGUAUAUACAAUCUUCAUCAAAAACAUUUAAGUCAUUACAUUAUCAAGACAUUCUACUUAUCAUGUUUUGAAAUAUUUAAACAUUUUGAACAUUUAAACUAUUAAGAAUUAGAUAUCAAAACUCCAACAUAAUUAGAGUACUAUAAUAAUGUAUUAAUGAAGCCAAUUUACAUAUUGACAACUAUCUAAGUGAACAUUUGAUAGAAUUUGUGCUUUUGAGAGGUUGUUGCCCAACUUGUUUUUAUGAGGGAUUUCAUGAUGCAUAGAAACAUGUAUGAAUGUACUUUUAAUAUGUUUUAACACUAUAUUGUUUAUGAGAAGCAAUUGUUCAUUCAGUCUAGUUGCAUAGAAAAUAUUUUACUUUUAUUUUUAUCUUAGUUUUUUUCAUACAAUCUUUUAUCCCCACAAUAAUUUUGUUCACAAAUUAUUAUUUAAACCAAAAUAUAUUUUAUCUUGAAUUUUCAACAAUAGAAAUUCUCACCAUCAAACUUGUCAAUAAUGAUGAUACUAUUAUCUUUAUAUAAUGUCAAUAUUAAUAUAAGCUUAGUUUUCAAGUAUAUCAUAAGAUAUAUGUGUAUGUAUAUAUACAUGUAUAAGACUAUACAUAAAAAAAGAAAAAAAAAGUAGAUAUUGCAUAAUUAAGAUAGGUAAUCCAUUGUCAAUUUGUCUUUUCAUUUCCAACAUAUAGGUGUAAUAUGUCUAUUAGUUUGGCUACUAGAACUAACAUCAAACAAAAAAAUUCUAUUUCUAUUGAUUAGAAAUAAGUCAUGGAUUGGUAAAACAAUGUUAAAUUAUAAGCAAUAAAUAAAAUUCAUUGUACUUAUAAUGGACUAGCAUGAAGUAUCAAUAAGUAGAAGUUGUUGAUUGAUUUGGGUGGAAAAAUAAUAUAAUUAGGUGCCACACUUCUCUCAAUAGCAUUAAUAGGUGCCACACAUUAUGGUUUUGUAAAAGUUAGAUUUGCAGUUUUGUAACCACCACCAGUUGGAAUUACGUAGGCUUAUAUGUCCAAAAUGGGUCAAAGAGAAUGUUUAGCUAAAACAUUUAUAUAAAAUACAUUUUUGGGCCAAAUUGUGUGAAAACACUUGGAAUCCCCCUCAUUUCUAUUUUACUACAUGGGGAUUUUUUUUUUUUUUUUUUUUUUUUUUUUCAAUUUUUACACCCUAUGGAUAUAUGCUGAAAUGCUUAAGUUACUGAAAAUAAGUUCUCUACCUCAAACAAAGAAAGAGUGAACAUAAAAAUGAACAUGAAAAAAUGCAGAACCUAGAACCGCUUUUCCUUAGCAAGGUGGCAGUUUAACAAUGAUCAGGACAGGGCACGUUAUUCGAGACGUAGUUGCUGACACUCCCCAUGAUGCUCCUGCCAAAGGAAACCGUGACACAGCUCAGAAUUGGCAUGAACAAUUUCGACAGCGAAAAGAACGUUGAUGUUGUUGUUGCGGAUUUUUCACCUUCUAGAGACAGAGACAGCAAGAGGGAGGGAGAGAGAGAGAUACUUCCAGAACAUGACCCACGACAUCAGGAUUGGAUGUGGAACCCCACGCAAUUGUUGCUCUAGAAAUGAAGUUGGCGUGACAAACCACCUUUUUCUAGGAGGAAAAACAGACCACGAAGUGAUGGGACAUCAUUGGAGGCAAGAGGGCGAUUGUAAUAUCUUUUGAGCUUGCUGUGGCCUCGGCAUCCCAUAAUGAGGUGAUCGAGCGGGGCAUCAGCAUUGCAAAUCAUCUCCUUCUGGUCUCCCCAGUAUAGCUUAAAGACCACGACGAUCUGCAAGGCGUGACCCUAGUCUGUUAGCUUUCCAGUGAUAAACCAGACAUGCUGUGAGAAACGAUGUUAGAUUUGGUAGGAGUGAGGGUUGGGCGGACAGUGGUCACCUUCUUUGCUUCCGCUUCAUGUAGCGUCUUUGUUACUUCCUCGUCAAUCUUCAGGUGGUAUGCAUGUUGAUUGUGUGGGUUCUCUGCAGCGGCUAAUGGGAUGAAAGCUGCAAAAGCAAAAAUGAAAUAUGAACAAAUUACCUGAUUCAUCUCAAGGGACAAACUAGUACAGUUGAUAAAACAUAAAGAUGCACCGCUUUGAGUGAGGCUCACUUUUUGCUGCAAGCUACCAACAGCUAGACUUGAGCGUAAUGGCUACAUUUCAACCAGCUAAUCGUGGCUCUAUGGCAGACUUGAAGGUUGCGGAACUCUAAAUGUGAAUUUUUACAUAGAUUCGCCACAGAUCAUCAUUUGAUGUGGAAAUUUGAACCUGAGACUAUCCCAGAAAAAUUGGUGAAAUCAAAUAGAAUUAUGUUAAUGGAGACGUCAGGGAGUUUCAUCCAAGGUUGUCCCGAGAAUCGAAUCCGAAUCAAGUACUUCAGAGACCUUUUCAAAACCAGGUAGAGAGCUAAAUUUUUAGGAAUUCUCCACCACAAUGUAGGGUUUCUGGAAGAAAAGGGCAAGAGGAUUCUUACAAGUGCCAGAAGCUUCCCAUAGAGCUGCUCGACCAGCUUCGAGUCCAUCCUUGUUCACAACCACAACAAUGAAAUGAUCGAUUGCCCGCAGGAUGUUCUCCACAGCCCAGUGCAGAGCAUACCUGCCUCUUGGUGAGUAAUCCAGCGCUACUCCGACAUGCCUCUCUCCGUUCAUUUUCACAAGCUCCACAAGCUGGCUUCUGGAAAGCUUAACCUUUCCUGCAAGAGAAGAUAUUUUGAAGUCAAGAAUCAUCUGCCACUCAACUCAACAAUGGCUAAUGGUGACGAUGAAAAUCACAGCAGAACGGCGACUUGAGAUCCCUAGUAAGGCCUUUCAGUAAUGUCCAGUUCUCAAUUAAUCUUUCCUAGGUACAGCCCGCAUAGAAGAAUCGAGCAGCGGAGAGCCACAUAGCACAAUGUCUUCCAAAGGACGCAGUGCAGGUAUGUGGGGAGGGGGGGGGGUUUUAGCUGUUAUUAUGCCCUUUGAGUAGUUGGUAAUCCUGGAGUAGAAGCAAUUGCGUCGCAAUCAGUCCUCAUCGGACCUCACACAUCAGAGCUUCAAAAUUGGCAGCCAGGUCUGUCACGCCGCUACUCACACAACUCUCGGCGUAGGCAUGUUAAUGCGACUCCUCGACUUACCGUCGGCGAGCAUGGUGGGGUAGACUCUCUCAGUCAGGAAGUAUUCAUCACUGCAUUUGUGCGCAGAAAAGUUGCACACAAACUGGAGGUCGUUUUGCAGGUUAUGUAAAUUUGUUUACAGAUAGUAUAUUGGAGGUCAUUUUGUAGGUUGUGUGAAAUAGUUUACAAAAAGUAAAUUAGAGGUCAUUUUGCAGGUUAUGUGAAGUUGUUUAUAGAUAGUAAAUUGGAGGUCAUUUUGAAUGUUAUGUAAAGUUGUCUUUAGAAAGUAAAUUGGAGGUCAUUUUGCAAGUUAUAUGAAGUUGUUUAAAGAUAGUAAAUUGGAGGUUAUUUUGCAAGUUAUGUGAAGUUGUUUAUAGAUAGUAAAUUAGAGGUCAUGUUGUAGAUUAUAUGAAGUUAUUUAUAGAUAGUAAAUUAGAAGUCGUUUUGCAAGUUAUGUGAAGUUGUUUAUGGAUAGUAAAUUGAAGGUCAUAUUGAAGGUUGUGUGAAGUUUUUUAUACAUAGUAAAUUGGAGGUCAUUUUGCUAGUUAUGUGAAGUUGUUUAUAGAUAGUAAAUUGAAGGUCAUUUUGUAGGUUAUGUGAAGUUAUUUAUAGAUAGUAAAUUGGAAGUCAUUUUGCAAGUUGUCUGAAGUUGUUUAUAGAUAAUAAAUUUGAGGUCGUUUUGUAGGUUAUGUGAAGUUAUUUAUAGAUAGUAAAUUGGAGGUCAUUUUGCAGGUUAUGUGAGGUGGUUUAUAGAUAGUAAAUUGGAGGUCAUUUUACAGGUUAUGUUAAGUUGUAUAUAGAUAGUAAAUUGGAAGUCAUUUUGUAGGUUGUCUGAAGUUGUUUAUAGAUAGUAAAUUUGAGGUUAUUUUGUAGAUUAUGUGAAGUUAUUUAUAGAUAGUAAAUUAGAGGUUAUUUUACUAGUUAUAUGAAGUUAUUUAUAGAUAGUAAAUUAGAGGUCAUUUUCUAAGUUAUGUAAAGUUGAUUAUAGAUAGUAAAUUGGAGGUCAUUUUGCAGGUUAUGUUAAGUUGUUUAUAGAUAGUAAAUUGAAGGUCAUUUUGCAAGUUAUGUGAUGUUAUUUAAAGAUAGUAAAUUGGAGGUCAUUUUGUAGGUUAUGUAAAGUUGAUUAUAGAUAGUAAAUUGGAGGUCAUUUUGGAAUUUAUUUGAAGUUGUUUAUAGAUAGUAAAUUCGAGGUCAUUUUGUAGGUUCAUUGAACUUGUUAAAAGAUAGUAAACUUGAGGUCAUUUUGCUAGUUGUGUGAAGUUAUUUAUAAAUAGUAAAUUAGAGGUUAUUUUGCUAGUUCUCUCAAGUUAUUUAAAGAUAGUAAAUUAGAGGUCAUUUUGAAGGUNNNNNNNNNNNNNNNNNNNNNNNNNNNNNNNNNNNNNNNNNNNNNNNNNNNNNNNNNNNNNNNNNNNNNNNNNNNNNNNNNNNNNNNNNNNNNNNNNNNNCUUCUAAUCUUAUUAAUGUAGGAUUUUUUGAUAUAAAGGUAGAUUUUUGAAAGGAGAUAUGGAUUUCUUUGAGUUUAUCAAAAAUCUAACUUAUUGGCAAAUAGUUAAUUAUGAUUUGGUAUAAAAAAGAUAUUAGGAUAUUUCUAUAUACUUUAAAUAGCCUUAUGUAUAAAGAUUCUUAAAUAUAAAAGGAUUUUAAUGAAUAGAAUAUCUUUUGAUAUUAUUGUAUUUAUUUUUCUUUUAUAAUAAGGAUAUAUUACUUAUUGGAACUUAGCCAAUAAGUUAAAACUAAACUCUCUACAACUAAAUAUCUAGUAUAUUUCUAUAUUUAAAAUCAUGCUAUAUAAUAAUGUUGUGAAUUAGAGCUCUACAUGCAAAAAAAUUAUAGUCUUCUUGAGUACAAAAGAAAAAUACAUUGUCAUAGCGAUGAUUGCUUAUAAAUUAAUUUGGCUUUAUCAUUUACUACACAUCAUUUGCAAAGAUGUCAUAGUUCUAAUGUUUAUCAAUUGUGACAACUAAUUUGCUCUCAUCUUGGUCAACACCACAAAAUUCUACAACUGUACCAAAUAUAUCGUCAUCUAGUAUCAUUUCCUUUACCAAAUUGCGGCCCUCUUAAAAUUAUCAUUUGUUUAUUGUUCUAUAAGAAACAUAUACAUUGACUAACUUAUGAAAUUCUUGUUCUACUCAAAAAUCACUAAGUAUAUAUAUUUAUUAGGUGUAUUUAGAGAAGAAACUCCAUCAUCUAUAACUAUUAGCAAAGAGGGCAUAUUGUAAUCCUAAUGAUAGAGUUUAGCUAAUAUCUUGUGGGAUUCUAUUGCUAUAAUAAAUAGAACAAAUAUAUCUUGUUAAGAAGUUGCAAUCCAACUAGUCAUGAUUUCCUUCAAAAAACAUAAUUUGUACACAAUAUAAUUACAAUUAAUAAAAAAGAUAAUAAUUAAAUUAUUUUCACAAAGACAAUCUCAAUAUAAAGGUGAUUAUUGAACUUGCGCAACUUAUAAGACUUACAAUUUCAGCACUCUCAUCAAAAUACAAGAGUACAUGGUAAGGACAUUCUUACAACAUGUAUGUGGUGGUUACAUUAUAAUCCAAAAUAGGAGUCAAUAUGACAAAAUAAGAUGGUAUGCCAAAUAUUUAAUUGGCAAAGUAAAAUUAGAAGCUACAAAUAUUAAUCAACAAUAAAAUUUUAAGAUCCAAAAGUUUGUUGAUAAAAAAAAAUGGAUUUGAAUUCAUCUAUAAAAAAAGAGAGACUUGUAUAUAUUAGCUGCUAAAGUUGCAAAAACAUGCAAGAAAGGGACAACGUAUCAAGCAUAAUAGAGCAUCUUUUUUUAAGUACUAUUUUAUAUUAUUCUAUAAUUAGAUGUUCAAAUAUUCUUUAUAAGUCUUGAUUGUGGACAAUAAAAUUUAAGAACUUAUAGCAAAAUUGGCAUAAAAAAAUAAAAGCUACAAAAUAGCAACAAAGAUUUUUUUUUUAGUCGAAUAUCUAAGGUGAUAAGUGAUUCAAAAAAAUUCAAGUAUUAUGCACUAUUUACCAUUAUUGUGGUUGCAAUUAUCAAUGCCUUUUAAACUUCAUAUAGUUAAAAAAAAACUUUGACUAAUUAAAAUAGUGUUUGAUUAUAGAUAUUAUUAUUAUAAAGAAAAUUCUAUUCUUGUGUAGAUAGACAAUAGAGAUGGAGGUUCAAAGUCUUAGAUUUGAUAUUGUGAAGCAAUUACAUGGGAAAAGGAGUUGGAAAAGUAUAGAGUUAUUGCAUGGUGGGAUAUUUGCUGAUGGUAUUUUUCUUGGCAACUAAAUAAAAUGAGUAGUGAGAAAUAAGAGAUUCUAUGCAAUUAAAUUUUUUUUGUAGUAAUUUAUUCAACAAAAGAGUGGAAACUUUAGAAAAAAAAUAUUGAACCAAAAACAAUUAUGAAGUGGAUUUAUCCUUAUAAACAAUGAAGAUUGAAGAUUUUUUUAGAAAUAAAAUAUAUUUUAUUUAUUUAUUAUAGGAUAGAAGAGAUUAGAAGAAGUUGAGCACAAGAAAAAAAUAAAUGUAAGAAUGCAAAACAUGGUGAAAAUCCUUAUAUUAAAGAAGUGUAGAAAUCAAAAUGAAGUAGUAAUUCAAAAAAUUUAUUAUUUCUAAAUUAAAAUAGAUUCAUCUAUAAUAUCAUAAUUGGUCUUAAAUUUAUUGAUUAAAUUUGAUGAAUAAAAAUUUAUAUAUUAGUAUUUUUUUGUAUAUUGGUUGUAAGAUAUCUUGAUAUAUUUAAUAAGGUAGUAACGUCUCUCUAAUUGGUAGCUUGAAUCAAUCAUUUUAAUUAUAAAGAAUAAUAUCUUAGGUUUCUUUGUAACAAAAUUCUUUCUAUAGUUUAUCAAUUUUGGAUGUCAAUUGCAAAAUUGAUUCUUAAGAUUCUCAAAUAUAAGAUUUUAGCCUAAAUGAUAUCAUUUUUUAAAUAAAGAAUUACUUUAUUAUAGCAUUGGAUGAUACUUUAGUAUAGAAUUAUUAGUAACUGUAAUACUAAGUCUUUUAUUUUGCAAAAAUAUAAGUCAAUUGCUUUACUUGUACUUAUAUGAAGGUCAUUUAAUUAAUUACUUAAUAAAAUUACAUAUAAUAUUAUUCAAAUUACUUUUAUAUAUAUAUAUAUAUAUAUAUAUAUAUAUUUUUUAAUAUUAUGUAUUUUUAUCUAAUUUUAGAAUUCUUCCAAUGGUUGUCACUAGAAUUUAAUCUUAGCAUAGUAGUCUAAGGUCAUUUGAAAUAGGCUUAAUUAAUGAGAUUUUUUGUAGCAUUUUUUGCAUUACAAAUAAUCAAACCUAUAGACAAGCUUAUUAAGAUUUAUUUCUUUUUAUCUUCUUUAAGUUGAAAUUUUAAUAAACAAGUAUGAUGUAUCAUUUUAAUUUUUUAGAUAAAUCAUCAAUCUGAGAUAUUCAAUAUUUUUUCUAGUUUCUAUUAUUAGUGGAUUUGUUUUCUUAAAUUGACAUACUUAGUAUUAUUUAAAAUAUAAAAUUAGAAUAUAUAUGUAUUUUUUAAAAUCCUUAAUUUUUUCAUGUGGUUUUGAUUGUUAUUUUAUUGUCUUAUUUACUUAUUGCUAAUUAAAAAAAUCAUUGCUACUUUAUAUUCUUAUUUCUUGAAUGAAUUUCUUUUAAAACUUUAUUCAUUAAUUUCAUGCUUUUGGCUUUUUCUCCCUAUUAGUGGCACUAAAUAUUGUUCAACUUUCUUCUUGUUAAUAGGACUUAGUUAAAUUCUAUAGAAUUUAAACAUAAAGAGGAAAAUAACCAAAUAGGAAGUUCAAACAAAGCAUAACUUAAUUCAAUAGUUUUGGAUUAAUAAUUUAUAUUUUUUAAUCCAUAUUAUAAACAACCUAUUAAUUAUACUAAUAGGUAUAAACUUUAGUUUAAGAAAUAAUUGUAGGACUAUCUUCUUGGUUAAAUAUAUAGAUUUUUUAUUAAUAUCUAUUAAAAUCAUAUAAAAUAUCAAAAAAAUAUACAAUAUUUUUUGAAAAAAAUCUAAUUUUAUUUCUAAAUCUUCCAAUCUUUUCUUAUUGGUGACAUCUUUGUAACUAAUAGGUGUCUUACCAUUGGAUUUUUUUUAAAUAUUAUGGAUUUUAGUUGUAACAAAUAUAAUUAAUUCAUAAAUCUAUUCAGCAAGAACUAAUCUCUUAAAAAUCUACUAGUAAAUUAAUUAAGAUUAGAUAUUUAAUUUUGAUGAUAUUAUUAUUAAAAUUAAAAAAAUUAAAAAUUAAAAAAAUCAGUCAAUAAAGCUAUAAAAUGUUCAUAAACUACAAGGUUUUAGUCUUAUCCUCCUACCCAUAUCCAAGGUGCUAUAAUCUAUAUAGAAAAUAUUUAUAAUCUGUCUUAUAAAUACUACUAUAAGUUUUAAUAGUAAAAUAUAUUAUUUUCUAUUUUGGUUUAAAUCAUGGUUUUCAAAAAUAUCCAAGUAGCCUCAAAAUUUGAUGAAGCCUUUAAAUUUUACUCCAAUUUUUAUAAUAACCUUCUAAAGUAGUAAAAUUAUUCUUUCCAAAAUCUUAAAAACUUGUUCUAUAAUUUCUAAAUAAUUCUAAAUAAAUUCUAAAAGUCUUAUUAUUUUUUUAAUACUAAUGAAAAUUUAAUAAUAUUUUACACUUCUUUAAUGAUUUUUUAUUGAGAUAAAAAUAUCAUAAUUCAAAUAAAUAUUCUAUUUUCUAUAUAUAUAACUAAAAAGCCAUAAAAUAUUUAUUUUUUAUUCUUCUUCUAUCUAUUAAUUAUUAAUUAUAGGCUUUUUUUACGUAAAAAAUAUAAUUAAAUAAUAGUUAUUAUAUUAUAAGACAUUAGUCUUAAUAACUAAAUAAUAAUUAUUACAAUCAAGAAAAUAUAAAAAAUCAACUUAAACAUCCAUCUCCUAAAUUUAUAAAGAUUUUAAUUUAAUUAAUAAUUACUAUAUAAGACUCUCUUUGCUUAUAUAAUCUUCUAAAUCCUAAUAAAUACUUACAUGAUUAAACAAAUAAUUUUAUUUUUAACUUUUUUAUACCUAAACAACAUUAAUAUUUUAUAUGUAACAAUUCUAUCAAUUAAGAUGUAUUAAUGGAGCUCACAAGGGCCCUUUAAUCCUAAAAAUUUAAAAAAUAAAACUAAUGUAUUUAAAAUAAUUAUUAAUUUUAUUAAGCAUAUAUGAAAAAAAAAUAGACAUAAUAAAAUUUUGGAUAUUAUUGAGCACCUUAUGAUCAAAACUUAAAUAGUUUUAUAUUAAUUUUUAAGAUGAACAAUUUCUUUAUUUUUUUAUUUUAAAUAUAUUAAUUUAAUUUUUUUUUUAGAUUUUUUUAUUUUUAUAAAUACUCUUUGAUUUAGAAAUACAAAUUUCUUUCUUGUGGGAUUAUUUGAGAGUUUAUAUUUUUUUAUUUAAUGAAUUUUAAAAUUUUAUCUUUUUAAAUAAAUUUAUCUAUUUUUUGAAUUUUAUAAUUUUUUAUUUAGUAAUUAUAGUCAAAUUCUUUACACUUCUUAUAUUUCUUUUUUUUUCUAAAUUUUUAGUUAUUGUCAUGAGAAAUUAUCUUAAAAUUUAAUUUAUUUUCUUAUUUAGAAAUUUUAUACCUUUAUCUUAGUUUCUAUAUUUUUAGUUCAAAAAUAGUAAAAAUAUUUUAAAUAUUUUAAAUUUUAAUUAUUUAUUUUUAGAAAAAUAUAUCAAAUCUAUUUUUAAAUUAUAUUAAAAAAUUAUUUUUAAAAUUUUUUUCCAAUUAAGUUAGUAUAUAGUAUUUUAUUUUAAAGAUUUUUCAUAUAGUCUAAUACAAUUUUCUUUCUAUUGCUUAAUUUAAUGUAAUAAUUAACCUUAUUUACAUAAAUGUUUUUACUUUUAUUUGAUUUAAUAUCAAUUAUUUAAAUCCAAUCAAAUACCAACUAAAUUUUUAAUUAUUUAUUUAUUUAUUUAUUUUAAUUGUAAAAAUCUGAUGUUAUAUUUUUUAAGACUUUAACGAGUUUCUACAUUGACUAUUUUUGUUUCUCAAUCUAAAUAGUUUUAUAUAUUUUUAUAUUUUUAAAAUUAAAUUUUAUUCUUUUAGUCAUUUUUUCUUUUUAAAUUAGAUAAUAUCAAUUUUAAUUUUUUAUCUUAUUUUUUUUUCUAUCAAAUAGUUUAAAAUUUUAAAUUAUAAUGGGUUUUUUUAUAAUAAAAUAAAUUAAUCUUUCAACCGUUUAUUUAGUUUGCAAACAUCUUUGUUUGCCAUUUCUAUUCUUGUAUCUUAAACAUUAAAAUAAUUUUUUGAUUACUAUCUUUUAAGAAAAUUUCUUACAUUAUUUUUUCUUCUAUAGUUCUAUGUAAUUUUUAUUUUUCUAUAAAAAUAAUUUAAAGAAAUUAUAUCUUCUUUAUUUUAAUCUUUAAGUUUUAUAUAUGUUUAUAAUUUCUUAAGAAAACAAAACCUUUUAAAAAAAAUCUUAUAUAGUCAUAAAAAGAAUUAUAUUAUCUUUUACUUUUAUUUUAAAGAUCAUUUUAAUUUUUUUUGAUGAAUAAUCUUAAUUUGAAUAUUAUUUUUAAAUUAUGUCUUUUAUUAUGGAUUGAAAAAAACAUUGGCAUGUUAUAAUACGGCUACUUGAUAAAAAAGUAAAAAUAUAAGAUAUAUAAAUAAAAUUUCAAUAAAAAAUUUAAUUGAUAUUUUUUAUAUAAUUUAAAAGCUAAUAAAUUUAAUUUAAUAAUAGAAAAUAUGUUUUGUGAUGCCUUUUAAAUUAAAUAAAACCUGUUCUUUUAUAAUAGGAUCAUAAAUUGGUCAUAACAAGGUGUAAUCGACAUAUAUAUAUAUAUAUAUAUAUAUGUACUUCUAGGAUAAGGUUAAAUUUAUAUUCUUUUAAAUUUUAAUAAUAAAAUAAUAAAAUUUAUCCUUAAAAGAUAAUUGUUUAUAAGACAAGAUUAAAUUUUAACUCCACAAUACAAAAACAAGAGUCUAUAGCAAGUAGAGGAUCUUUUUGGAUUUUGCAAAGUAUAAUUAGAGAGCUAGUGUUAUAAACAUUUUAAAAAUAUAAUUUUUUUUAACACAUGACUUUUAAAAAAUAUUCAAUAGAAAUCAAAGGUAAAAUUUUUCAAGAAACAAUGUUUUAAAAGCAAUCAAUUUUAGUUAAAUUUUGGAUUUAAUUUUUAUACUUUGUACUUAAUUUAUAAUUAAAUUUUGCAAUUAUAUGGAUAUAUAAGAAAUAUAUAUAUAUAUAUAUAUAUAUAUUUUAUUAAUAAAAUUAUUUAUAUAUUUGAUCAUAUAUACAAGAAUAUAUUAAAAUUAGAUGAUUUAAGAUUAGUCAUAAUUUCUUAAAGUUCUAUAGAUAUAUAAAUAAUAAAAGAAGAAAAUUUUAAAUUAAAUUAAAUUAAAUUCCAAAAUAAAAUAUAAAUUAAAAACAUCAAAACUAAGAUUAAUAAAUGCUUAAGUUAAAAAUUAAUAAUUGAAAUACAAAAAUCAUCCACUAGAAAUCUUUAUUAUUUUUGGAAUAUUAAAGAAGCAACAUGAAAUGAAGAUUCUAUGAGAAUAACUAUUAAUUUAAAAUUUGGAUCUCCUUUAGAUUUUUUAACUACAAAAUUUUUUAAAUUAAUUAAUAUUUUAAUAUUUUAAAACUCAUCCAAUACCUCAAUUAUGAGUUGUGUCUUAUUAUAGUUUAUUAAUUAAAAUUUAAAAUUUGCUUAAAGUUUGCUUAGAAUAAUAAAAGUUUAGUGGAGGUUCUAGAGGGUUUUUAAGGUUUGGUAGAAUUUGAUAAUUUUUUAUUUAUUAUUUUUUUUGCUUUUAUUGAGACCAGGAUUAGGAUUUAAGAUUUGGUAGAAUUUGACAAAAUUUAGAAUUUGAUAAAAUUUAUUUUUUAAAAUUAGAUAUGAUAUUGGGUUUAAAGUUGUUUGGUUUAGGAUUGUUAAGAAGAUUGAAAUUGAUGAAAAUUGAUAUCUCAAGCACCUUAUUUUUUUUAUUACAAGAUAAUUUUGUGCCAUAAAAAAAAAUCUUUCACAACCAGGUGUUCGACACAUUCCCAAACUUAACUUUAUAUAAUAUGCCUCUGUAAGAUGAUUCUUUACAAACUCCUAAAUUUAAUACUUGUAGUACUAACCUUAAAAGUUUUGAUGUUCCAUGUGAUGACUUACUAGUAACUAUUGUACAAAUGCUACAUGAUUAUUGAAUCAAUCUUAAUAUUUAACACUACUUAAAUGUCUUCGUCAUGAAGAUUCAUUUUUUAGAAUCUACUGCAAGAUGAUAUCUCCCAAACAACUUUGCUCUCUAAUACUCCAACUAUUGUCAAGUGAAUACAUCUGAACACACUAAAACCAUACAAUAGAAUCGCAUUGCAGUGACUUUUACAAAGCUAAGGUUCAGACAAGAAAGUCCCUGCUUGUAGUUACUGUACCAACGCCCAACGAAUUUUGUCAACAAUCGAAGAGAUCGCCUUCGUCCCUAUAACGGACUCCUGCUAAAUCCAAGAGGCGAUUCGAGCCUGAGAGCAUCCCAAAAUUGCAGUUUACAGUCAGCUGCAGAGGUUUAGGUCCUGGGAAGAUCAGGGGCAGCCAGCCUAUUCCUGCGUCCACUCGGUCAAACAAGAUGUUCUGGAUUGUCAUCAGGUCGCCCGGAGGAUCCACAUCCUCAGCUUCCAGAGACGGCCAGUGGCUAUUUAGAACUCCUCUUCAGAAGAUGACCUUGACCUCUUGCAGGAUCAAGUUUAAAAGCCUUAACAGAGGCGAAUAGUCAAUUUCCUUCAUCGUACCUAGUCUAGGCUGUGGGACUAUGCUGCGAUCAAUUUCUUGCUCCCAUUCGGAUUCAAUAACCCGACCGCCCCAUAAGUUGCCCUCUCUGCGCCCUCUUAUGUCCCAGCUUGAGAGCUCCUAAGUCUCAUGCAAGUCUCCUAAGUCGCGCAGGCUCGGUGAUCAUCCUCGCCUUGAUGCUUGUCUAACGGCUGUGUGUUAGCUUGCAUGGUGGGCCUCACGGAGGCCGAUCGCUGCAGUGCUUGACCUCCCACGACCCAUACGGAUGCAAUCGAGCGGCAAAGUCUUUAGAAUUCUGAGAAGCUGAGCCCAGGGUGAACGGGUUCCAUCCACCGCUGAACCUCCUUGAACUGCAAGGAGAAUCCCCUCACUCAAGCCGUAAUCGUAGUCAGGCCAUUCUAUAGGUCGAUCUCAUCCACAGUUAGCAUCGCAAUCCUUUGUGGGUGGCGGCCGUAUUUUCCACCCUCAAACAUUGCGACUUUGGGAAUCGAAGGGAAGCCAGCUGUGUACAACGAGCACAUCCGUGUCCGUUGGGUUGCGGCGAAAGUGACUCAAUCCAGCUGAAAACGAAUACGUCGGUCAACGACGUGAUGGACUUGUGAAACGGAACUCACGUGACUUGGGCCAUCGCCAAACAUGUCCAAGGUGCUAUGAAUUUUUGAUGCUGCAAAGGCAUUUUUGAGGAGUUUCAAGUUUUUGUAAAGUGCAUUUUUAGGCCAUCUAAUUUUGCAACCUGAAAGCAUUAUUCAAUUUGUGUAGGAGUAAGUUGCUAUCUCAGAUAAAUUGUAAGAUGUUUGAGCAUUAAAGCAAGGUUGAGGGCACAAUGUGGGAUUGUUAAUAGUAAAUAUAAUUUUGUUGUUCUGUAAAUUGUUCUAAAUACGUUCUCGUUUUCAAUUAGUUUCAAAAGAAACUCUUUGAAUCAAUCUUGGAGUAAAUUUAUCAAACUUGAGAUUGAGAUAUAUAUAUGUUUCAUCAAAAUAAAAAAUUCAAUAAUUUAAGAUAUAUUAAUUUACUGAUUUGAUGUAAAAAAAAACAAUAAAUCCUUUUAAUUUAUCUCAAAUAUAUAUUAUUAUUUUUUAUUCAAUUCAACACCACAUAAUUGUAAUAGGUCAAAUGUAUGUGUAUAUCUUUUGCAAAAUGUUAUUCAAUUUCAACACAAAAUGAUUUAUGCUUGAAGCUCAAUAUUGGUUUGUAUAUCAGUAGUAAUUCUUUGGUUGAUUGAAUUCAUUAAAAUAAAAAAUAAAAAAUAACAUUUGUAUCUUGUGUUAUUGCAGUAACCAUCAUAAUAAUACUCUACAUCAACAAAAUAUAGCCUUUGGUACAGAAGUUCAAACAUAUUAUCAAAUGCAAAAUUAGUAAUUUUAAAAACAUAAAUUAAUAAUUAUAUAAAUAUGAACUACUUUAAGACGUUCAAAUAAUAUAGUAUACAUUAGUGUUCUUUUUACAUGACUGAAGUAACUGCUAAAUCGGGGUAUUCUUUACAUGUAUUUGAACAACUUUAUUAGCAUAUAUUGUUUUCAGAAUAAUAAUCAUUUUACAACAAUAUCAUAUAUAUAUAUAUAUAUAUAUAUAUUCAUAAAUAUUACAUUGCUCAAGUAUAAAACUAAGAUGUUUUUACAUACAUUUCAUAUUUGAAUAUGUACAAUGAUUCCAUGAGUACAUCCCAUGUUUUAAGUUGAAACUUACAGCUAUUUGUGCCGAUUGGACAUAUGCAGCUGUUCACAGCAAUUUGGCUAUUGGUUUCUUGCCUUUCAAGACGAUAGUGUGAAUUUCCAAGCAGUUCGGAUUUGUUGAAAAGUUCUAAGACAUAAAAGAUUGAUUCAUUAAAUUGAAGGUGAGAGUAUACUUCAAAAAAACCAUUGUCAAGAGUAGCUAUAUGCAUUGUAGUUUCGACAGGUCUUUGUUUCAUGUUGAUAGAUAUGUAUUACUGUGCGACAAAUGUGAAUUCGCUUUGAAAUGUAGACCAUUCGGCCCCAAUUGACCGCCACAUUUGUUUUGAAAGCGCUACUCAGAAUAAAGUCACAUGUUCAACUGCAUUUUGUCUAAAUGUUGUGGUAGAUGUUGAGAAAUUUACUUCAUACAUCAUGAUGCGCACAAAUGCCAUCUUAAGCGAUUCGGGGGGGGGGGGAUUGCACAAAACAGUAAGCGUAUAUGUGACAUUUCUGUCGACCUCAAUUAAUUGGAAAUCAGGGGAAGACAGAUAUGUUGUAUGAACCCUUCACAGGCAGCGUCCAGUGCGUGCUCAGCACGGUAAGUUGUUAGUUAUUGAAAUAGUGACGAUAAGUACUUUCAAGCGUACCGACGGUAAUGGAACGCAUGUUCAGGGCCGCGCCGACGCGGUCACAUGUAACACACGUAAGCAUAAUCUCUCAUAAUUCUACCUUCUACCCUCAUCAAAAAACUAUACUUCACGUGACUCACGUUCAGGAGUUAGCAAUCACCAGCGAAUAAAUUUUGAAUGCGGCGAAUUAUUUUACAAUGCAACCACCUUGCUAAAAACAAGGUAUGAACCUCACUGUAGAUCACAUUAACACUAAUCUCUACCACAAUCACUGGAUGCAGUCCUAGUCAAGUAGACCCAAUCCUCGGUCCGCUUCCAAUGCCCUUUAGGGUGCAUCACCGGUUACAUUAUCAUCGAAACUCGAAACAGUAGUUUCAGAUGCAAGUGAGUCCUCGACAAUCUGAUCUGAGGAUUCAAAUGCGAAUUGCGGCUCUGGGCUGUUUGUGCUUUCAUUGAAGAGAACUGCACCAUCAUCAGCAGAGCCCCGAGCAUCAGAACCAGAGUCAUCGGUGCCAAAAUCAGGCUCCUGAGUGUCAAAGCCAGUACCCUGAGUGUUGCUGAGAUCAGCAAACUCUAGGGGAGAAGGGUCCUUCUGAGCAUCGUACACAUAGGAAUUAUCUUCCUUAACGCUGGAGAAAGACGCAAACUCAGAUCCCGAGUUCUCCUCUAGGGGAACUGCCUGAUCAUCACUCGGUCCCUGCUGAUUCAAUGUUCCGAAAUCUGCCAGGCUAUCGGCGUCGGGAAGAUCACUGAGCACAGUCUGGUCUUCGGAGAUGCCAUUGUCCGAAGUCUGUACUCUCGUAUAAUCAUAGUUUACAGGCUCCUCGACAGGAACCACUUCCUCAGCUUUAGCCUCAAAGUUGUAGAUGGGAUCCUGGAGGAGGAGGCGGGCACUAUCGACAUGAAUUACCUGCACACAGAACAAUGUCACACAGAGGGUCGCGAUAACUAAGGGAAGACGAGCCAUUUCUCGACACUCUAGAACUAAGUGCUCAACCUUACGCUCCGACUACACCAAGACAAUUUGCUUACAUCAAUGAUUAUCGCCGCUUGAGGAUAGCAAGACCGAGGAAAAGAUCCCUAUAUGUAAGUCAAUUGCAAGCGAGUACAACACCGUUGAGGUUGCACGGUAAGGGUACUGACUUGCCUUCCUACGCACCGCUCCCUCUCAAUGAAGGAAUCUCGUUUCGCGCCAUUGAGCCGAUCCUCGAUUCGCGACGAGAUUAGACACCCUUGAAUCGUGCCAGACAUUGAGCAGUGAUUUCUACCGCUCCAUCUACCCUGAGUCAAACCCUGAUUUCAUCGAGAUUUCAUCUGAGUUGCAACGGUCAAAAUCACAGCAACCCCAGUGAAUCUUCAUACGGAAAACUUUAAAAAGAGUAGUGCGGCACAUUUAAUCAACAGCACUCAGAAUUUUCUGCGAAAAAUCCCUUCAACGCUUGGCACAAAUCGACUGUUUAGGAAAAGCAGAAUAUAUCGUUUAAUUCUUUUGAGAUGUGCACAAUAAUUCUGAAACUUCCGAUUGUUGAUUAGAAUUAAAUAAAACUUGCUGGCUUUUCUCAUGUUUCCAACACAAAUAAAU